Molecule: unclassified non-coding RNA, 381 nt
Filed under: uncultured Pseudomonadota bacterium
Lineage: Bacteria; Pseudomonadati; Pseudomonadota
Description: uncultured proteobacterium contains 16S-23S intergenic spacer region
Source: RNAcentral
UCCGGUUUGUCACCGGCAGUCUCCUUAGAGUGCCCACCAUGACGUGCUGGUAACUAAGGACAAGGGUUGCGCUCGUUACGGGACUUAACCCAACAUCUCACGACACGAGCUGACGACAGCCAUGCAGCACCUGUGUUACGGUUCUCUUUCGAGCACUAAGCCAUCUCUGGCAAAUUCCGUACAUGUCAAAGGUGGGUAAGGUUUUUCGCGUUGCAUCGAAUUAAACCACAUCAUCCACCGCUUGUGCGGGUCCCCGUCAAUUCCUUUGAGUUUUAAUCUUGCGACCGUACUCCCCAGGCGGAUAACUUAUCGCGUUAGCUUCGACACGUACGGGGUCAAUACCGCACACAUCUAGUUAUCAUCGUUUACGGCAUGGACUAC